RNAcentral lists this ribosomal RNA (442 nucleotides) under Patescibacteria group bacterium. RNAcentral describes it as "partial 23S ribosomal RNA". It matches the Rfam family "Bacterial large subunit ribosomal RNA", at positions 2471 to 2925 of the family's 2925-position model. The record is from RNAcentral.
GGGAUAACAGGCUAGUUCCGCCUAAGCGUUCAUAGCGACGGCGGAGUUCGGCACCUCGAUGUCGGCUCACCACAUCCUGGGGGUGGAGAAGCUCCCAAAGGUUUGGCUGUUCGCCAAUUAAAGUGGUACGCGAGCUGGGUUCAGACCGUCGUGAGACAGGUUGGUCUCCUAUCUGCUGCAGGCGUUGAUGCUUGAGGGGAAUUGAUUCUAGUACGAGAGGACCGAAUUGAACGAACCUCUGGUCUGCCUGCUGCCGCACCCGCGGCACCGCAGGGUAGCUAUGUUCGGAUCGGAUAAGCGCUGAAAGCAUAUAAGCGCGAAGCCAGCCCCAAGAUUAGGCAUCGGUGAGGCCCCUGGAAGAUGACCAGGUUGAUAGGCUUUAGGUGUACGCGCAGCAAUGCGUUGAGCCGUGAAGUACUAAUCCGCCGAUCCUGUUAGGAAC